RNAcentral lists this transfer RNA (77 nucleotides) under Mycobacteroides abscessus subsp. abscessus. RNAcentral's name for it is "tRNA-Asp(gtc)". It matches the Rfam family "tRNA". Rfam says of the family: Transfer RNA (tRNA) molecules are approximately 80 nucleotides in length. Their secondary structure includes four short double-helical elements and three loops (D, anti-codon, and T loops). Further hydrogen bonds mediate the characteristic L-shaped molecular structure. tRNAs have two regions of fundamental functional importance: the anti-codon, which is responsible for specific mRNA codon recognition, and the 3' end, to which the tRNAs corresponding amino acid is attached (by aminoacyl-tRNA synthetases). tRNAs cope with the degeneracy of the genetic code in two manners: having more than one tRNA (with a specific anti-codon) for a particular amino acid; and 'wobble' base-pairing, i.e. permitting non-standard base-pairing at the 3rd anti-codon position. Lineage: Bacteria; Bacillati; Actinomycetota; Actinomycetes; Mycobacteriales; Mycobacteriaceae. The record is from RNAcentral.
CCUUGCGUAGCUUAGUGGUUCAAAGCACCCGCCUGUCGAGCGGGGGAUCGCCAGUUCAAAUCUGGUCGCAAGGACCA